This is a non-coding RNA of Oryctolagus cuniculus (rabbit), 645 nucleotides long. The record is from RefSeq and is a predicted model, not a curated record. NCBI's taxonomy places the organism in Eukaryota, Metazoa, Chordata, Mammalia, Lagomorpha, Leporidae.
ACGAGGCUGCCAGUUACCGUGAGAGAGAAACAUCCCCCGCCUCCCCCUCCCUCCCGCCAUCCCGCCUGCCCGUCCACUCGCGCUCUCGCCCGACCGCAGGUCCCACGGGCGGCCCCCGCCGGCGCCGCGCACUCACUUUCCAGAUAGUCCUCUAGUGGAAAGUGUGGCGAACAUCUGGCCUGAUGGUCAAGACACUCGUUAGGAUUCCAUCUUCCAUCUGGGAGCCAGCAAUGAAUGAUAGCUGAAGUUGUUGGAUUCCUACUACCCAGGUGCUGUGUGUUAUUGACAAGAAGUGGUGUUUGGAAGAUUCAAGAUUUUUUCUAAUCUUUAUUUUUACCUUGUUUUAAUAUGAAUCCAGUUGAUUUAGAAGCUUGGGGAACUUUAUUUUGGUAGUAAGGAAAAAAUUUUUUUGUAAAGUUGGUUAGUGUAGUCUUAUUAUUGAGGAAGUACCAUGUGGAAGGAUGACAAUAUAGUGCUUUUUUAUACUCUGGCCAUAAAUUUCUUAUGAGGCUUACAACAUUGUGGUGUAGAGCCAGCCACACUCACUAAUUUGGAAUUCCUCAAGGGCAGAGGCCAUGUUUUAUUCAUUUGUUGAUCCACAGAUCUGGCAGGUAAUAUGAGUUCAAUAAAGAUGUGAUGAAUUAU